RNAcentral lists this ribosomal RNA (468 nucleotides) under uncultured bacterium. RNAcentral's name for it is "partial 16S ribosomal RNA". It matches the Rfam family "Bacterial small subunit ribosomal RNA", at positions 28 to 507 of the family's 1533-position model. The record is from RNAcentral.
GACGAACGCUGGCGGCGUGCUUAACACAUGCAAGUCGAACGGAAAGGCGCUGCUUUUGUGGGGUGCUCGAGUGGCGAACGGGUGAGUAACACGCGAGUAUCCUGCCCCUGUCUUUGGGAUAACUUCUGGAAACAGGGGCUAAUAUCGGAGAGGAGCUCCUGCUGCGUGGGGGGGGUUGGAGAGUGUCGGCUGUGGUGGAUGUACUCGCAGGUUAUCCGCUUGUUUGUGUGGUAGUUGCUGACCACGGGUUCGACGGGUAGCCCGCCUGAGAGCGUGGACGGCCACAAUACGACUGAGAUAGGGAGCAGUAUGCUACGGGAGGCAGCGGUGGGAAAUCUUGCACAGUGGGCGGAAGUCUGAUGCAGAAACGCUGCGUGCGGAAUGACGGCCUUCGGGUUGUAAACCACUUUCGACUGUACCGUAGCGUGAGUGACGGUAAUGGGUAAAGAAGCCCCGGCUAACUACGUG